UUACGGCCAUAUCUCGUUGAAAUACCAGUUCCCGUAUGAUCACCUAAGUUACGCAAUGUCGUGCUUGAUUAAUACGUAGAUGGGUGAUCGCUUGGGAAUCCAAAGUUCUGUA
Molecule: non-coding RNA, 112 nt
Organism: Acanthosepion pharaonis
Lineage: Eukaryota; Metazoa; Mollusca; Cephalopoda; Sepiida; Sepiidae
Source: the annotation of a GenBank genome assembly